Molecule: ribosomal RNA, 370 nt
Filed under: Lauridromia dehaani
Lineage: Eukaryota; Metazoa; Arthropoda; Malacostraca; Decapoda; Dromiidae
Description: partial 12S ribosomal RNA
Source: RNAcentral
CUUAUUAAAAUUCAAACUAAAAUAUUAAUAGUUAUGAUCUUAAAAUUUAGAGAAUUUGGCGGUGUUUUAGUCUGUUUAGAGGAACCUGUUUCGUAAAUGAUAAACCUCAAAGUAUCUUACUUAUUUUUAUAGUUUGUAUACCGUCAUUAUUAGAUAAUUUUUAUAGAAAUAAAUUAUUAUAAUAAGUUUUAUUUAGUAUAUUAGAUCAAGGUGCAGCUUAUGAAUAAGUGAAAAUGGGUUACAGUAAAAUUUAUUUAAAACGGAGUGGGUUUUGAAAUGAGCCAUGAAGGUGGAUUUAAUUGUAAUAUAAGUUUAAUAAGCUUAUAUGAUAUUAGCUCUAAAUUAUGUACACAUCGCCCGUCGCUCUUAA